RNAcentral lists this ribosomal RNA (517 nucleotides) under Simulium malayense. RNAcentral's name for it is "partial 16S ribosomal RNA". It matches the Rfam family "Bacterial large subunit ribosomal RNA", at positions 1825 to 2601 of the family's 2925-position model. Lineage: Eukaryota; Metazoa; Arthropoda; Insecta; Diptera; Simuliidae. The record is from RNAcentral.
GUCUUUUUGGUUAAUUAAUAUAAAGUCUGACCUGCCCACUGAAUAUAUUUUAAAGGGCCGCAGUAUUUUGACUGUGCAAAGGUAGCAUAAUCAUUAGUCUUUUAAUUGAAGGCUGGUAUGAAUGGUUGGAUGAGGUACAAGCUGUGUCAUAAAAAUUAGUUUUUGAAUUUACCUUUUUAGUCAAAAGGCUAAAAUGAAAUUAAAAGACGAGAAGACCCUAUAGAGCUUUAUAUAAUUUAUAUUUAAAUUAUUAAGAUUUUUUAAAUUUAAUUAUAUUAUUAUAUUUUGUUGGGGUGACAAUAAAAUUUAUAAAACUUUUAUUUUUAUUAAUCAUUUAUUUAUGUUUGUAUGAUCCAGUUUUAUUGAUUAUAAAUUUAAGUUACCUUAGGGAUAACAGCGUAAUUUUUUUUGAGAGUUCUUAUCGACAAAAAAGAUUGCGACCUCGAUGUUGGAUUAAGAGUAAUUUUGGGUGUAGAAGUUCAAAGUUUAAGUCUGUUCGACUUUUAAAUUCUUACAU